This is a long non-coding RNA of Nanorana parkeri, 106 nucleotides long. RefSeq lists it as uncharacterized. The record is from RefSeq and is a predicted model, not a curated record. The transcript has 3 exons. NCBI's taxonomy places the organism in Eukaryota, Metazoa, Chordata, Amphibia, Anura, Dicroglossidae.
AUUGUGCAGGCACGUGACAUUCUCGCGGUUACAAGUCCGUCUCCAGAGAUCUUCAUGUUCCUGUGUCCUCUGUGCCCAACAUUGUCAGGAAGUUUCCAGCCCUCGG